This 460-nucleotide ribosomal RNA is filed under the name Enterococcus faecalis. RNAcentral describes it as "bacterial SSU rRNA". It matches the Rfam family "Bacterial small subunit ribosomal RNA", at positions 28 to 465 of the family's 1533-position model. Lineage: Bacteria; Bacillati; Bacillota; Bacilli; Lactobacillales; Enterococcaceae. The record is from RNAcentral.
GACGAACGCUGGCGGCGUGCCUAAUACAUGCAAGUCGAACGCUUCUUUCCUCCCGAGUGCUUGCACUCAAUUGGAAAGAGGAGUGGCGGACGGGUGAGUAACACGUGGGUAACCUACCCAUCAGAGGGGGAUAACACUUGGAAACAGGUGCUAAUACCGCAUAACAGUUUAUGCCGCAUGGCAUAAGAGUGAAAGGCGCUUUCGGGUGUCGCUGAUGGAUGGACCCGCGGUGCAUUAGCUAGUUGGUGAGGUAACGGCUCACCAAGGCCACGAUGCAUAGCCGACCUGAGAGGGUGAUCGGCCACACUGGGACUGAGACACGGCCCAGACUCCUACGGGAGGCAGCAGUAGGGAAUCUUCGGCAAUGGACGAAAGUCUGACCGAGCAACGCCGCGUGAGUGAAGAAGGUUUUCGGAUCGUAAAACUCUGUUGUUAGAGAAGAACAAGGACGUUAGUAACU